UUAUAUCUUCCUAUUGAUUUGUUAUGGACUGAAACUGAUCAAUCUCUGUCCAUAACAAAUCAACAAGAAGAUACAA
RNAcentral lists this non-coding RNA (76 nucleotides) under Schistosoma japonicum. Lineage: Eukaryota; Metazoa; Platyhelminthes; Trematoda; Strigeidida; Schistosomatidae. The record is from RNAcentral.